UCUUAAAAAUUUCAUCGAUUUCUACUGUUAAAAAUUGUCAUGGCUAAUAGAAUAAGCAAAAAGUUAUAUGUGACAUGCCACAUGUCUCUUAUUCUGAUAUACAGGGACCAAUUUUAACAGUAAAAAUAAAUUAAAAUUUUAAUA
Gossypium arboreum is the source of this 144-nucleotide non-coding RNA. NCBI's taxonomy places the organism in Eukaryota, Viridiplantae, Streptophyta, Magnoliopsida, Malvales, Malvaceae. The record is from Rfam.